Molecule: ribosomal RNA, 85 nt
Filed under: uncultured bacterium
Lineage: Bacteria
Description: partial 16S ribosomal RNA
Rfam family: Bacterial small subunit ribosomal RNA
Source: RNAcentral
CACAUCACGAAAGUCUGCCGCUCUUGAAGUCGCUGCGCCAACCGCAAGGAGGCAGGCGCCGAUGGAGUGGCAGGCGAUUGGGGUG